AUGGGCGCGUCGUCCCCGGCGGCGGCGGACCUGGCGUGCCGGGCGGCCGUCAUGGCGGCGCCACGCCUCCUCGGCCUCAUGCAAAGGAACUACCACUCCUCGGCGCCGCGCGCGCCCCUGCACCGGCCAGCUGCGGCGGCCAUCGCCUCCGGGGGCCGCGGCCUCUCGUCCUACGACAAGUACGCCAGCCAGCUUAAGGAUGAGGAGGAGAAGAUGAGGACCAAGAAGCAGCUUGCGGUGGCGCUGAUGAACGACACCCCGAGGAGCAGCGGCGACGGCGACCACGGGGAGGAGGUCAAGAGCGUCAGCAACCUCCUCUCCCUGCUCGGCGCCCCCGCUCCCGCCCCCACCAACGGCCCCACGGCCGACCAGCUCGCCAAGCAGCUGCUGAACGAGCGCCGGAGCUUGCUGGAGAAGAAGAAGAACGCGCUGCUGAUCGAGCUGCUCAACGGGGACGGCCACGGCAGGGAGCACAAGACGGCCGAGGUCGUCGCCGCCGCCCGCCAGCUCCUCGACGACCUCGCGGCGUACGAGGAGCGCCGGGCCCACAAAACCUUCUCCGCGGAGCUGAAGGGUCUGCAGAAGAUGGUGGAGGCCAACAGGCUCAAGGCCGAGGCCGACAACAGGAGCGCGAUGAGCUCCAUGGAUCUAGUCAAGGCGCAGGUCCAGUCGACUAAUGCCACCGUCCACUCUUACCGCGCGGACGUGAAGCGGCUAGAGGCCGGAGUUGCAGAAGCCAGAUUAGAGGCAAAGAUGGCCGGGGAAAUCGUGGACUCCGUAAAGAAGACAGGGGAGAGGUUGGAGGGGAAGUAUGGAGAUUUGUCGAAAGGGGUGGAGUCGGCUAAAGGUCUCUCGUGCUUCGUGUUCUGGUGCGGCGCCCUGAGCGGACUGAGUUAUUAUAUGAAUUAUUAUUUAUGA
This 918-nucleotide ribosomal RNA is filed under the name Triticum aestivum (bread wheat). RNAcentral's name for it is "partial small subunit ribosomal RNA". The record is from RNAcentral. Lineage: Eukaryota; Viridiplantae; Streptophyta; Magnoliopsida; Poales; Poaceae.